RNA transcript from Solanum verrucosum, 1836 nucleotides. RefSeq lists it as uncharacterized. The record is from RefSeq and is a predicted model, not a curated record. The transcript has 2 exons. NCBI's taxonomy places the organism in Eukaryota, Viridiplantae, Streptophyta, Magnoliopsida, Solanales, Solanaceae.
UUCUUCUUCGAAUGUCUCCUGAUUUCUUUCUUAAUUAGAAAAAAAAAAAGUCCGGCGGUUCAGUUACCGGAAAAUCUAUCAUUCUUCACCGGAGAACAGAAUUUGUAUUUUUUUUUGUAGUUUGUUUUUUCAAGGAUGAGUAGCGUACAGAAUACUGUAGAUACUGUAAAUGCUGCCGCUUCGGCUAUAGUUAAUGCAGAGAGUAGAGUUCAACCAUCUACAGUUCAGAAGAGAAGAUGGGGAAGCUGCUGGAGUCUAUACUGGUGUUUUGGUUCUCACAAGCACAGCAAAAGAAUUGGUCAUGCCGUCCUUGUUCCUGAACCUGCAGCACCUGGACCUGCUGUUCCAGUUACUGAAAAUCCAAACCACUCAGCCACCAUUGUAAUUCCCUUUAUAGCUCCUCCAUCUUCUCCUGCAUCCUUUCUUCCAUCUGAUCCUCCUUCUGCUACCCAGUCACCCGCUGGAUUACUCUCUCUCAAAUCCCUCUCUAUCAAUGCAUAUUCUCCCGGUGGGACUGCGUCUAUUUUUGCAAUUGGUCCCUAUGCUCAUGAAACACAGUUAGUUUCCCCACCUGUUUCUCUACCUUCACUACUGAACCAUCUACUGCUAAUUUUACUCCCCCACCUGAGUUGGUGCAUAUGACAACUCCACCUUCACCAGAAGUGCCUUUUGCACAGCUUUUGACAUCAUCACUGGCCCGCAACAGAAGAUAUAGUGGGUCCAAUUAUAAGUUCCCGUUGUCCCAGUAUGAGUUUGUGCCUUAUCAAGAUCCAGGAAGUCCGGGUAGUAAUCUAAUAUCUCCUGGUUCAGUAGUAUCAAAUUCUGGCACCUCCUCACCUUUCCCUGGAAAAUGCCCUAUAAUUGAGUUUCGUAAGGGGGAGCCUCCGAAAUUUCUUGGUUAUGAACAUUUCUCCACUCGCAAAUGGGGUUCAAGGGUUGGCUCAGGAUCAUUGACACCAAGUGGCUGGGGCUCUAGGCUAGGUUCUGGAACUCUGACCCCAAACGGUGGGAUUUCAAGGCUAGGUUCUGGUACUGUGACUCCAAAUGGUGGGGAACCUCCUUCCCGAGAUAGUUACCUUUUGGAGUACCAAAUCUCCGAGGUAGCAUCUCUUGCUAAUUCUGAUAAUGGUUCUGAAAUUGGGGAAGGUGUAAUUGAUCACAGAGUUUCAUUUGAAUUAACUGGAGAAGAUGUCCCGAGUUGUAGAGAAAAGGAUCCCGUCAUGUCACAUUCGCAACAGACUCUUCCAAUGGAUGUCUCCAAUUUGUUAGCCAAUGAAAUGAAAAGCGGUAGCUCUAUGGCCGAAGAAAAAACAUAUGGAUCGCCUAGGAAAGCUUCAGAAAGUGGGGAAGAUCAAUGCCAUAGAAAACACCGGAAUAUUACCUUUGGCUCAAGCAAAGAUUUUGAUUUUGACAAUGUGAAAAUAGAAGUCUUGGAGAAGGACAGUAUUGACUGUGAGUGGUGGACAAGUGACAAGGCUGCUGGGAAGGAAUCAGGUGUUCAAAACAACUGGACUUUCUUUCCUGUGUUGCAACCGGGCGCCAGCUAAUGCUUGAGACUAAAGGUUAAAAAUCAAUGUUAAAACACACCGAUGUUACUGCUUCUGGUAAUACUAUAAACGAGCUGGGAAUGCAAUUUUCAGGCAUAGAAUUCUAAUUGCAGCAACCUUAGCUUUAAAACUGAAGAAUUGUGCAGUAAUUGGUGUUUAAUUUGGUGCUCAGAUAGUCAGUCACCUGAAAAUAUUCCUUUGAAUAAAGGACUUUUGUAUACACCAUAGAAUAUGUUUGAAAAGGAGAUGUAAAUGAUUAUUAUUUCUUAAAAAUGAGAAUUUCUCACUU